Molecule: long non-coding RNA, 303 nt
Filed under: Setaria italica (foxtail millet)
Lineage: Eukaryota; Viridiplantae; Streptophyta; Magnoliopsida; Poales; Poaceae
Description: long non-coding RNA (SITA_LNC006353)
Source: RNAcentral
ACGUCGCCACAUCCUCCGGCUUCCUGGCUUCGGGCGUCUGAGCUCCCUUGUGGUUACUUUCGAUCAGCUCCGGCUUGGCUUCAUUUGACGUCUCCGUCUCUGCGUCGUUGAUGGUGACUGUGCUGUGCGUGAACUGGCUUCGGCCUCAAGCUUUCUCAGGCCUUCGGCUGCACAGUCAUGUAAAUAUGCGACCUACCUUCUCCUUAGGCGCGGUUGCGAGGUUGGACGGAGCCCUUCUCCUUAGGCGCGCCCGAAGCUCCGUUCUUCCAAAACCCAAGUUGGCUCCUGCAGACAAUUCAAUUC